CAUUGUUGAGAUCAAUUAGAAAUUUGUAAUGAUGCGAGUAAUUAUUUGUGUGUUGAGAUGUAUUAGAUGUUGGUGAGGGGUGGUGGGAGGCGGAGGAGAACGGAGGCAUAAUGAAAGAAAGAUGAUAAGUUAGGUUAAAAGGGGGUUGCGGGUGAUGUGGAGAUCUAGAAAGAGGGGGGAGAGGCCACCGCUAAAGGUGGGUGGGGGUGCGGGGGAGGCUAACGUGCGCGGAGGGCGUAAUAAUGUUGACCGGGUGCUGGCUUUGCUUUGUUGCGUUCGGCGCCCACCGCCCAAAAAGCGUCAGCUGGCAGAGGAGUUAAAAAUAAUUGGUAUGGGCCGUUUGACGUUUCUUGUGGGCGGAGCUAGACUUGGCGGCGAUCCACUCUCCUCUUUAAUAUAGCUUCGAUAUUGUCGCCUGUGAUCUCUUCGUUUUUGUUAAUCUCCUUUUCUUCUUUAAUAUAUUUGCUUUGAGCUUAGUCUUUCAAUUGCACGGCAUUGAAGUUUCUUAGCCCCUUCGAUUGCUUGAAUGGGAGAAUUGAUCUUUCUCACCAUAAUUUAAAUACAUUCUUUGGUUGUUUGAAGGCGUCAGCUGGCAGAGGAGUUAAAAUUAAAAAUAAAUUUGUAUGGGCCGUUUGACGUUUCUUGUGGGCGGAGCUAGACUUGGCGGCGAUCCACUCUCCUCUUUAAUAUAGGUGAUUAAUUAACUUCGAUAUUGUCGCGUCAACUCUUCGUUUUUUGUUAAUCUCUUUUUCUUCUUUAAUAUUGGCUUUGAGCUUAGUCUUUCAAUUGCACGGCAUUGAAGUUUCUUAGCCCCUUGGGGUGCUUGAAUAGGAGAAUUGAUCUUUCUCAUUAAAUUCACCACAACUAAAUACUCACAUUCUUUGAUUGUUU
Molecule: long non-coding RNA, 891 nt
Filed under: Nicotiana benthamiana
Lineage: Eukaryota; Viridiplantae; Streptophyta; Magnoliopsida; Solanales; Solanaceae
Description: long non-coding RNA (NBEN_LNC009998)
Source: RNAcentral